This 681-nucleotide unclassified non-coding RNA is filed under the name Heliciopsis henryi. Its description in RNAcentral is "partial contains small subunit ribosomal RNA, internal transcribed spacer 1, 5.8S ribosomal RNA, and internal transcribed spacer 2". The stretch from base 279 to 434 matches the Rfam family "5.8S ribosomal RNA". The record is from RNAcentral. Lineage: Eukaryota; Viridiplantae; Streptophyta; Magnoliopsida; Proteales; Proteaceae.
GGUUUCGUAGGUGACCUGCGGAAGGAUCAUUGUCGAUACCGGCUCAAUAGAGAGACCCGUGAACACGUUGCAUUGCGAUCGGGGGUGUACGGAGUGGGGGUGCGACCCCUUCCUCUUGGACCCUCGUAAGGUCGGACCCCAAGCCUUGGUGGCAUUCGACCCAAAAAACACAACCAACGGCGCGGUUAGCGCCAAGGAACUUAUAACGGAAUGGACGUGUGCUAUCUCUGUGCCUCUGGUGCGGUGUUUGUGUCGUCUUAAAUCCGAAUCUUAUUAAUGACUCUCGGCAACGGAUAUCUCGGCUCUCGCAUCGAUGAAGAACGUAGCGAAAUGCGAUACUUGGUGUGAAUUGCAGAAUCCCGUGAACCAUCGAGUCUUUGAACGCAAGUUGCGCCCGAGGCCAUCAGGCUGAGGGCACGCCUGCCUGGGCGUCACGCAUCGUGUCGCCCCCUCUUCUGCCUUAUGUGGCGGCAGGGUGGGAGCGAAGAUUGGCCCCCCGUGUCGAUGUUUGAGGUGCGGUUGGCCUAAAGGCAAGGGCCCCUGUGUGGCGAGCGUCACGACGAGUGGUGGUUGAAGCCACUUUGCCAUAAAGUUCGGACGUCGUGCGUGCUCUAUGCUCCCAUUGGGCUGUGGUGACCCUGAUAGUCCGUCGACCUGCGAUGGCAUUCGACUGCGACCCCA